This is a long non-coding RNA of Tyto alba (common barn owl), 233 nucleotides long. RefSeq lists it as uncharacterized. NCBI's taxonomy places the organism in Eukaryota, Metazoa, Chordata, Aves, Strigiformes, Tytonidae. The record is from RefSeq and is a predicted model, not a curated record. The transcript is spliced from 3 exons.
UUGUGUUUGCAAGCAGCGCAGUUGCAGCGUUGCAGAUGAGAACUAAAAAGUGAAACUGUAAACAGAACCUGUGCCAGCACUUGAAUCACAACAGCUCAGAAUGACCUUUCUCCAUAAUCACCCAUUUACACCAUCUAUACCCACAAAGGUACAAAAGACUACCGAGACUGAGAACUUCUUGGCAACAAAUGAAGAUCUUAAUUGGACCUUCUACUACCUUUACCAGUAUUAAU